GAAAGCGCUUCCCUUCAGAGUG
This 22-nucleotide microRNA is filed under the name Pongo abelii (Sumatran orangutan). Its description in RNAcentral is "Pab-Mir-430-P36_3p* (star (passenger))". Lineage: Eukaryota; Metazoa; Chordata; Mammalia; Primates; Hominidae. RNAcentral also lists the same sequence under 1 other name. The record is from RNAcentral.